This 332-nucleotide ribosomal RNA is filed under the name uncultured Glomus. RNAcentral's name for it is "partial 18S ribosomal RNA". Lineage: Eukaryota; Fungi; Glomeromycota; Glomeromycetes; Glomerales; Glomeraceae. The record is from RNAcentral.
CGUAAGGCGCCGAAUGAGUCAUUAAAAAUUAACAUCAUCCGAUCCCUAGUCGGCAUAGUUUAUGGUUAAGACUACGACGGUAUCUGAUCGUCUUCGAUCCCCUAACUUUCGUUCUUGAUUAAUGAAAACAUCCUUGGCAAAUGCUUUCGCAGUAGUUAGUCUUCAAUAAAUCCAAGAAUUUCACCUCUGACAAUUGAAUACUAAUGCCCCCAAUAUCCCUAUUAAUCAUUACGUCAAUCCUAGAAACCAACAAAAUAGGAUCGAACGUCCUAUUUCAUUAUUCCAUGCUAAUGUAUUCAAGCGUUAGCUUGCUUUAAACACUCUAAUUUUUC